RNAcentral lists this ribosomal RNA (302 nucleotides) under uncultured bacterium. RNAcentral describes it as "bacterial SSU rRNA". It matches the Rfam family "Bacterial small subunit ribosomal RNA", at positions 171 to 507 of the family's 1533-position model. The record is from RNAcentral.
GUAUGAUGUCUUCGGACCAAAGAUUUAUCGCCCUGAGAUAAGCCCGCGUAGGAUUAGCUAGUUGGUGAGGUAAGAGCUCACCAAGGCGACGAUCCUUAGCUGGUCUGAGAGGAUGAUCAGCCACACUGGGACUGAGACACGGCCCAGACUCCUACGGGAGGCAGCAGUGGGGAAUAUUGGACAAUGGGCGAAAGCCUGAUCCAGCAAUGCCGCGUGAGUGAUGAAGGCCUUCGGGUUGUAAAGCUCUUUUGCCCGGGACGGUAAUGACGGUACCGGGAGAAUAAGCCCCGGCUAACUCCGUG